This 497-nucleotide ribosomal RNA is filed under the name uncultured bacterium. RNAcentral's name for it is "partial 16S ribosomal RNA". It matches the Rfam family "Bacterial small subunit ribosomal RNA", at positions 28 to 507 of the family's 1533-position model. The record is from RNAcentral.
GAUGAACGCUGGCGGCGUGCCUAAUACAUGCAAGUCGAGCGAACGGACGCGAAGCUUGCUUCUUUGAUGUUAGCGGCGGGCGGGAGAGAAACGCGUGGAUCACCUACCUAUCAGACUGGGAUCACCUCGGGAAACCGGCGAUAAUCCCGGAUAAUAUUUUGCACCGCAUGGGGCAAAAGUGAAAGACGGUCUUGCGGUAAGUUAUCGAUGGAUACGCGCUGCAUUAGCUGGUAGGUAAGGUAAAGGCUUACCAAGGCAACGAUGCAUGGGCGACCUGAGAGGGUGAUCGCCCACCCGAGAGCUUAGACACGGUCCAUACUCCUACGGGAGGCAGCAGUAGGGAAUCGGCCGCAGUGGGCGAAAGCCUUGCGGAGCGACGCCGCGUGUGAUAUGAAGGUCUUCGGUGCGUAAUACUCUGUUAUUAGGUAAGAACAUAUUUGUAAGUAACUGAGCACAUCUUGACGGUACCUAAUCAGAAAGCCACGGCUAACUACGUG